UGGGGAAUAUUGCACAAUGGGGGAAACCCUGAUGCAGCAACGCUGCGUGAGUGAUGACGGUCUUCGGAUUGUAAAGCUCUGUCUUCAGGGACGAUAAUGACGGUACCUGAGGAGGAAGCCACGGCUAACUACGUGCCAGCAGCCGCGGUAAUACGUAGGUGGCAAGCGUUGUCCGGAUUUACUGGGCGUAAAGGGAGCGUAGGUGGAUAUUUAAGUGGGAUGUGAAAUACUCGGGCUUAACCUGGGUGCUGCAUUCCAAACUGGAUAUCUAGAGUGCAGGAGAGGAAAGUAGAAUUCCUAGUGUAGCGGUGAAAUGCGUAGAGAUUAGGAAGAAUACCAGUGGCGAAGGCGACUUUCUGGACUGUAACUGACACUGAGGCUCGAAAGCGUGGGGAGCAAACA
RNAcentral lists this ribosomal RNA (402 nucleotides) under uncultured bacterium. RNAcentral's name for it is "bacterial SSU rRNA". It matches the Rfam family "Bacterial small subunit ribosomal RNA", at positions 355 to 774 of the family's 1533-position model. The record is from RNAcentral.